UUAGAUUUGCUAAAGCCUAAAACCCUACACAAAAAUGCUGUUGAAGUCACGAGCACGUGACAUCAUAUUUUAACAAUUAAAAAUGUAGGCCGAAUGCACAACCGACCUUAGCUCAGUUGGUAGAGCGGAGGACUGUAGUAGGUGAAGAACCUGUUUGCCAUCCUUAGGUCGCUGGUUCGAAUCCGGCAGGUCGGAAUAUUUAGAGGUUUUUUUUUCUUUUUUUUUUCAAAAGACACAGCUUUUGCGUGAAAGCAAGCUUUUUUUUUUUCUCAGGUCAUGAGAGGCAUUAUGAAAAUAAUUGAAAUGGAAUUAGACCAAACGGUCUCAAUUUUAACUCAAAAAGUUUUUUUUUUUUUUAAAUUAAAAUUGUAAGUAGAAUAUUAGCAUGGGGAUGCUCUUCCUUGGUUCUUAGAUUGGAGCCAAAAUAAGUGACUACUUAAUACUCUGUAUUCUGCUAUUAAUGAAGUUUUGAUGUUGACUUUUGAGUUUGAAGGAGAUAUCAAAGUGAAAAAUGAAUAGAGUAGAGAACAUAUGUAAGGAAACACAAUUCAAUAAUUAAUUCUGAUUUGAGAAGUAAAAACAUCAUUCCUGAUGAAAUUGAUCUCUUUCAAUGAAAAUGCACAAGCAAUGGAUUAUCCAAUGCUAAGAUUCUUAUUGUUCAUCUCCUGAAUAUUUGAAUUCCUGUGUGGUUGUGUGUUCCAUUGACCACGGUGAUUUCACAGCCAUACCACUUCUAAACUGAUUGGUGACUAAGUAAAACAGUGACCGCAUUCAAGCAGGAGCUUAGUGCUGAGUAUGUAGAAAAUUGAACUAACAGAAAGUAGCAAAUGAAAAGCACAAUGUAAUGCCUGAUAUCCACGGCAUAGAAAGGUCAUUUUGUCUUAGAUAAUUUUUAUUGACUUUUCACAGGAGUAUAAUAAUAACUGCAAUUUUUUUUCUUCUUGUUUCUUUCCUAU
RNAcentral lists this transfer RNA (956 nucleotides) under Hevea brasiliensis (rubber tree). The stretch from base 102 to 195 matches the Rfam family "tRNA". The record is from RNAcentral. Lineage: Eukaryota; Viridiplantae; Streptophyta; Magnoliopsida; Malpighiales; Euphorbiaceae.